AUCCCUAAUCCUGCCAGACACGAGUUAGUUAAACAGACAGAAGCUCCCGGAGAAUGGGACCAUCGUCUGGGACCUGGGCCCCCUCUAAGGGCUGAGAGAGCACAUUCCCAGUCGGCCACCAGAACUCUGUACUCGAUUAAAAUUGCAUUUGCUGAACUUGGAGCACACCCACAGAAAGCAGAGCGCCAACCACAACAAAAGUUUCGGAAAUUAAAGUUCUUUCUACAAGGACAACUUGUUGCAGAUAAUCAUUCCUGCCCAACAUGGGGGUUCCGGGACAGGGGGAAAAAGUCUGCAUACUCUGCAACAAAUGGGAGUCUUUAUUGCUUUUAAUCGACCCUCAGCCAAAUAACCAGUUCAUUCGUGAUUGGCUUGCUGCAGAAACCAUGUGGCUCACAACCAACUGAAUAACUGCAGGACCGGAAGAGAUGCUGAGGUCCAAAACAGAAAGCAAAGGGGAAAUGAUCAACAGGAAACUGAGCCUAUGGAAUCAACUUCACGCAGAUCUUGGACAGGAUGUUUGCCUGGUUGCUAAGGAGAGGCUGACGCCUGCGAGGACUUGAGCGUGACCAGUGGAAGUAAGACAAGA
This 589-nucleotide long non-coding RNA is filed under the name Rattus norvegicus (Norway rat). RNAcentral's name for it is "long non-coding RNA NONRATT014584". Lineage: Eukaryota; Metazoa; Chordata; Mammalia; Rodentia; Muridae. The record is from RNAcentral.